AGUAUUGUUCCUUUCAUUGUGUGAUCGGUCAAUAGACCGCGACAAUGGCCAGACAUCAAUGCCGCACCCCCUUCCCCCUAAUUCACUUUCACAUCAGUAUAUUCUAAUAACCGCUUGGUCUCCUUGAUCUCAAUGUUUCCGUAGAGGAAGCUUUCAGGUUUUGCUCUUCGAAAUCGUUUGAACAUUGAGAUCAAGGAGACCAAACGGGAGCACGUUAUCAUGCACCUUGCUUAGUCCUCUGGUGUUUGAUGGUAACCAGGAUAUCAUUCGAUCGUAUGGGUACUGAGAAUUCUUUGUUUUUGAUUUUGAAAUCGUCUAAUCCAUGGUGAACGGUUGUUUAUAGACCUUGGUGGAAAUUCGCUAUUGUUGAUGAUCUUGACUAUUUUCAGUCUCCAUGGAAAUUUGGGUUAAUUGUAUCUCAAGAUUCAAGCUUUUACUUGCUUCCGAAUGUGGUUCUUUGUAGUUCUUAGCUUUCUGCUGAUCAAGGAACAACUUCUUACUCUCUAUAUCCUUUUUCAGUGACUGGUUGCGCUAAGUAAAGUCCAUCUCCAAUAAGUGUUCUUCCUUCCUUUUAAGACUAUUAACAGAGGCUUUUCCUUGGAAGGCGGAGGCUUCUCAUCAGAUUCACUUGGAGAAAAAGAAAACGGUGUAACGGGACUUGAAGUCAAGAGCUUUUCUACCUGUCUCUCGGUUUCAUAGGUAGUCUUUUAAAUAAUUGGUAAUAUUUGGGUUUACUAGAAAUCUCACAUUGGAAGUCAAUUAAUUAUUCAAAUGUGAUUGUUCAAUUUACG
Molecule: long non-coding RNA, 791 nt
Filed under: Theobroma cacao (cacao)
Lineage: Eukaryota; Viridiplantae; Streptophyta; Magnoliopsida; Malvales; Malvaceae
Description: long non-coding RNA (TCAC_LNC001317)
Source: RNAcentral